This 728-nucleotide long non-coding RNA is filed under the name Erythranthe guttata (spotted monkey flower). RNAcentral's name for it is "long non-coding RNA (EGUT_LNC002850)". The record is from RNAcentral. Lineage: Eukaryota; Viridiplantae; Streptophyta; Magnoliopsida; Lamiales; Phrymaceae.
UUGCUUGAAUGACAAUCUGAAAAGAAUUAAAGAUGAUACUACAAUCAGAAUGACAAUCUGAAAAGAAUUAAAGAUGAUACUACAAUCAGAAAUGAGCAUAAUUUAAGAUAUGAAGAAUUACAAAUAAUUCAUCUAUAUUCUAGCUAGGAAGAUAAACAUGUACUACAAAGACACGUAUUAAGUAUUUAAAUAUCUCAAUGCUGAAUGCGUAAAUCACUUUCUUAAAAAAGAAAACCAACGAAAAUAGGUAUUCACUUACUUGGCCAUAAAAUAACUACGGUGAAUCAUCAAAUCUUGAUCAUUCUCACAAACCAUGUUUACAAUUUAUUCAAGCAAGUCAAGCUAAACUGUGCAUCUGCAAGUGGAAAGCAAUAUCGCAUUAAAUCACAAUGAAGCAAUUCAGUCUACACUAUUUUUGAGUAGUUGAAUACUUUGAACUAACCAUGUUUUUUGCAUCAGCAAUUGGUUUCUUUCUUUCUGCGAACAAAUUAAAACAUAAAUAAAUAUUUUUACAUAAAACAUUUAAUGCAAAAUGUUGUUAUGCAUGUAUCAAAGUUAUACAAUAGAAUAGUGAGUCAAACAAAACAUACGGUGAUUUACCUCAACUUCAUUCAUAUGGUGAUGUACCUCAACUUUACCCAUGUUGACACCAUUUUCCUGUAAAAAUUGUUUAAAUCCAUCAUAGUAGGUAUUAAGAUUAAACACUUAGAAAAAAAUGGUAACACAGU